CUCGGCUCUCGCAUCGAUGAAGAACGUAGCGAAAUGCGAUACUUGGUGUGAAUUGCAGAAUCCCGUGAACCAUCGAGUCUUUGAACGCAAGUUGCGCCCGAAGCCGUCAGGCCGAGGGCACGUCUGCCUGGGCGUCACGCAUCGCGUCGCCCCCCUUCCCGCGACC
Molecule: ribosomal RNA, 166 nt
Filed under: Jacquemontia tamnifolia
Lineage: Eukaryota; Viridiplantae; Streptophyta; Magnoliopsida; Solanales; Convolvulaceae
Description: 5.8S ribosomal RNA
Rfam family: 5.8S ribosomal RNA (bases 1-137)
About the family: 5.8S ribosomal RNA (5.8S rRNA) is a component of the large subunit of the eukaryotic ribosome.
Source: RNAcentral